Molecule: transfer RNA, 73 nt
Filed under: Blyttiomyces helicus
Lineage: Eukaryota; Fungi; Chytridiomycota; Chytridiomycetes
Rfam family: tRNA
About the family: Transfer RNA (tRNA) molecules are approximately 80 nucleotides in length. Their secondary structure includes four short double-helical elements and three loops (D, anti-codon, and T loops). Further hydrogen bonds mediate the characteristic L-shaped molecular structure. tRNAs have two regions of fundamental functional importance: the anti-codon, which is responsible for specific mRNA codon recognition, and the 3' end, to which the tRNAs corresponding amino acid is attached (by aminoacyl-tRNA synthetases). tRNAs cope with the degeneracy of the genetic code in two manners: having more than one tRNA (with a specific anti-codon) for a particular amino acid; and 'wobble' base-pairing, i.e. permitting non-standard base-pairing at the 3rd anti-codon position.
Source: Rfam by way of RNAcentral
GGACUGGUAGCUCAGUGGAAGAGCAUCUGUAUUGGCAAUCAGAAGGUCCCGGGUUCGAAUCCCGAUCAAUCCA